This 68-nucleotide transfer RNA is filed under the name Cichlidogyrus halli. RNAcentral's name for it is "tRNA-Leu". The record is from RNAcentral. Lineage: Eukaryota; Metazoa; Platyhelminthes; Monogenea; Dactylogyridea; Ancyrocephalidae.
UUAAGAAUGCCAGAGGGAAUAUGGGUUUGCUUUAGGAGCAAAAAACGGUGCUGAGGUACCUUCUUAAA